Long non-coding RNA from Beta vulgaris subsp. vulgaris (sugar beet), 624 nucleotides. RefSeq lists it as uncharacterized. The record is from RefSeq and is a predicted model, not a curated record. The transcript has 3 exons. Lineage: Eukaryota; Viridiplantae; Streptophyta; Magnoliopsida; Caryophyllales; Amaranthaceae.
UUCCAGUUGAUCAAUCAGGUGACGAACCUUCAGCGGAAGAGGAUGAGGGCUGUGAUCAUUCAUAUGUUCUCAAAGAUGAUAUAGGCUAUGUAUGCCACGUUUGCGGCGUCAUUCAAAGUGCAAUUGAGACUAUAUUUGAUUACCAGUACAUAAAGAUUCAAAGGAACAACUAUGUGUGAAUGAUUUAGAUUGUUUCUGUACCCCCUGUUGCCUGUUGGUAUGUUCUCUGUCUCCAGUUUCCAGUUUUAGCAAUUAGUGGGUGUUUCGAAGGAUUCAAUCUUUGAGCAAUGUGAUUGAUUUUACGAGAUAUAAGGUCACAAAUUUACUAGAUAUAUCAGACAUAAAUGUGACCCUAUAUUGAAACAGAUUUUAAAAUUUAUGGUCACACAUUUUUAUCAGUGACCCGUAGUUGCAGUAAUGAUUUUGCUAAUGUCUUACCUUUUAUGUUUACUUGCAGGGUUCAUGUGCAUGUUGUUGGAGGACAAGCUGGCAUAAUCUUUCUACCAUGGUUUUCUCAGGCUUUCCCACAAGCCAAUCUCUCAUAUCAAGACAUUGAAGCUCUUACAAAGAGAACACAAGAUGGAGGAAUAGAGGUCGUGAAUGCAAAGGCUAGAAAGGGUUUAG